This 253-nucleotide ribosomal RNA is filed under the name uncultured bacterium. Its description in RNAcentral is "partial 16S ribosomal RNA". It matches the Rfam family "Bacterial small subunit ribosomal RNA", at positions 524 to 776 of the family's 1533-position model. The record is from RNAcentral.
UACGGGGGGGGCAAGCGUUGUCCGGAAUUAUUGGGCGUAAAGAGCGCGUAGGCGGUCCGAUAAGUCGGCUGUGAAAGUCAGGGGCUCAACCCUUGAAAGCCGGCCGAUACUGUCGGACUAGAGUCCGGAAGGGGCAAGUGGAAUUCCCGGUGUAGCGGUGAAAUGCGCAGAUAUCGGGAGGAACACCAAUGGCGAAGGCAGCUUGCUGGGACGGUACUGACGCUGAGGCGCGAAAGCGUGGGGAGCAAACAGG